GGCGAGCGAACAGGAAAUAGCCCAGCACUGAAUCCCGCCGUUGUAACGGCGGCGGGAGAUGUGGUGUUCGGGAGGUUCCGCUUUCUUGUCGUCGUCCACUCCUGUCCAAGUUCGUCUUGAACGGGGCCCAUUUCCCAUAGAGGGUGCCAGGCCCGUAGCGACGGAGGACGGCGGCGAGAGGGACUCUCCUCAGAGUCGGGUUGCUUGAGAGUGCAGCCCUAAGUGGGUGGUAAACUCCAUCUAAGGCUAAAUAUUACCGCGAGACCGAU
RNAcentral lists this ribosomal RNA (269 nucleotides) under Chloroclysta miata. Its description in RNAcentral is "partial 28S ribosomal RNA". It matches the Rfam family "Eukaryotic large subunit ribosomal RNA", at positions 88 to 338 of the family's 3401-position model. Lineage: Eukaryota; Metazoa; Arthropoda; Insecta; Lepidoptera; Geometridae. The record is from RNAcentral.